RNAcentral lists this small RNA (2431 nucleotides) under Pongo abelii (Sumatran orangutan). Its description in RNAcentral is "processed transcript". Lineage: Eukaryota; Metazoa; Chordata; Mammalia; Primates; Hominidae. The record is from RNAcentral.
GAGGGUUUUUUUUGUUUGUUUCUUUAUUGUUUUUGGACAGUAAAUAUUUGAAAUUUUCCUAGGAUCAGUAAUGAAGGUACACAGAGUACUUUGGGUAGCUAUAAAGAAGACUGCUGCAUGUGAUACGUAUAUUCUUAUGAGGGCAUUUAUAAAAACAGGUUGCAGUGAAAAUGGAAUAACUUAACCUAUAAUCAUUUUAUAUAUUACAAAUUGUAUAAGCCUCUUUCAUUACAGAAAUAUUCAAUCUUUAUAAACCGUUUUACUAGUUUACUUGAUAAGAUGUUGGUUUGUUUCAAAGUCUUGUUUCAUUAUGUGUCCCCUUUUUAUAUGCUUGGUAAGAGACGGAAGUCACGAGGUGAGAGAUGUUAAAAGUAGGAAGCAUUUGAUCUCUUGUUAGGAAGAAGAUGUGAAAUUUCCUUGAAGAAAGUUUUAAUAAUAAGGUAUUAAACAUUUUCCUGGGGUUGGUCACCAUUAUCUCCUAUUCCUCUUUCUUUUCCCGUUCCUAUCACCCUUUCCCAUCCAUUUUAUGUUGAGCGUUCUUUCAUUUAUGGAGAGGAUUUUUAAAACUACUUCAUAUUAUGACUUUAAAGGGUUAUAGUAAGUUUGCUUUAUCAUUUAAUCCUGUAAAUAAAAAAGAUUUUGAGCUGCUUCCUCUGGUAUAGAAUAUCUGACUAUACCAACUAAGGAUUAAGGAAAGGAUGAAAAGAAAGCUUGAAUAUUUAAUAGUCUAAAAAUAUUUUUAAAAAUUAAAAACCUUCAAAUCUUGGUAACUAUUUUUAUUGUGUUCAAAUAAAUGCAUUUGGUAUUCUAAAUAUUUUUGUAGUGUUCUAUACUAACAGCUAGUAAACCAGUUUUUUGGAGGUCUUUGUUAAAACGGUAAGUUAAUAACUUGGUGAUUUUACCAUGGGAUAUUCCAUUUUAGAACAAGAACUCAAGGAGAACCAUAAUAAAAGAACAAAAGUUUUAAAUGGUGAAAGUCAAAUCCUUGGUUCAUGAGCACAUGCCAUGAUCACUCAGUUAAGUGAAUUUGUGUAGUACUUCCUUAGCCAGAUCGUUCCUUAUUCUUUGUUUUUUAUUUUUUAUUUUUGAGACAGAGUUUCGCUCUUGUCGCCCAGGCUGUAGUGCAGUGGUACAGUCUCAGCUCACUGGAACCUCUGCCUCCCGGGUUCAAGUGAUUCUCCUGCCUCAGCCUCCUGAGUAGCUGGGAUUACAGGCACCUGCCACCAUGCCCUGCUAAUUUUGCAUUUUUAGUAGAGACAGGAUUUCACCAUGUUGGCCAGGCUGGUCUCAAACUCCUGACCUCAAGUAAUCUGCCCUCAUUGGCCUCCCGAAGUGCUGGGAUUACAGGCGUGAGCCACUGCGCCCAGCCUGUUCCUUAUACUCUUUAAAGGUUUGUUUUUUCUCCUUACUCUUUACCCUCCCCUCCAGUGAAUGUUUUUUAGAAAAACCAAUGCUCAGAUUUAUCAGUAUUACUAUCAUUCUGUACUGGCUUACUUUAGUGGUGUUAUGAGUUAUACAUUAUACAUUAAUAUAAAAACAUUCAAAAGGGUACUCUUUAUGCUCAGUUUAUUAAGUUUUAUGCUGUACUGGAUACUGUUAGGUGCUACGUUAAUUCAGUAGCAUAGGAAUUAUAGAAUACCUGUAACCAAUAGAGGUUAGCUUGUUUCAGUCACAGUAGCUUUACUGCAGCAUUGCUGUUAAAAUGUUAAUCUUUUGUUUUCCAGAUGGCUAUUGAUCAGGCCCACAGGCAGAAUGUCUCCUCUCUUUUUCUCCCAGUGAUUGAAUCUGUGAAUCCCUGCUUAAUUCUAGUGGUGCGUAGAGAAAAUAUUGUAGGAGAUGCAAUGGAAGUCCUUAGGAAAACAAAGAACAUAGAUUACAAGAAGCCACUCAAGGUUAUAUUUGUUGGAGAAGAUGCUGUGGAUGCAGGAGGGGUGCGCAAAGAAUUUUUCUUGCUCAUCAUGAGGGAAUUAUUGGAUCCUAAAUAUGGCAUGUUUAGGUAUUAUGAAGAUUCCAGGCUCAUUUGGUUUUCUGAUAAGGUAAAAUGUCCAACCAUCUAAAUUACUUCUGUGUAUAUACCCAUGUAUUUAUACCUGUAUGUAUAAAGUUAAUUCAGUAAAUAAGGAAUUACUUCUGGAUCCCUAACAUAUAAGAUCUGCUUUAUUACAAUUUGAGAAGUUAUAAACUUUGGACUUGGAGUUGUCAAAAUACAUUUGAUGCUUACCAAACAUUUUAAAUUAACAAAAUAAAUUAAGAGAUGGUUAGCCAGAAAAUAAUGUUGACUAUUCCUUCUGCUAAUUUCAAUUUGAGGAUUGAAUAAUAAUCACCAGAUUAACUUUUCUUCUGGGAGAAAUUAAUUUAUCAUUAGGGAUCACUGGUUUAUCUACCUUGUCAUUUAGAGCAGGAGAGCAGACUAUAGCCCAUUAAUCUCAAA